AAUCAACGCUGGCGGCGUGCCUCAGACAUGCAAGUCGAACGCGAAAGUUUCCUUCGGGGGAACAAGUAGAGUGGCGCACGGGUGAGUAACACGUAGGUAAUCUACCUUUGGAUGGGGAAUAACAACCGGAAACGGUUGCUAAUACCGCAUAAUGCAGCGGCACCUAAUGGUGACAGUUGUUAAAGCGGGGGAUCGAAAGACCUCGCGUCUGAAGAGGAGCCUGCGGCGGAUUAGCUAGUGGUAAGGUAAUGGCUUACCAAGGCGACGAUCCGUAACCGGCCUGAGAGGGCGGUCGGUCACACUGACACUGACAUACGGGUCAGACUCCUACGGGAGGCAGCAGUCGGGAAUUUUGGGCAAUGGGCGAAAGCCUGACCCAGCAACGCCGCGUGAAGGAUGAAAUCCCUCGGGAUGUAAACUUCGCAAGAACGGGAAGAAUAAGCGAGAGUUAAUAUCUUUCGUGAUG
Molecule: ribosomal RNA, 466 nt
Filed under: uncultured bacterium
Lineage: Bacteria
Description: bacterial SSU rRNA
Rfam family: Bacterial small subunit ribosomal RNA
Source: RNAcentral